UGAGACGUUAUGGAGUGUCUCCGUGGCGUCUCGGCUUCCCGAUAGAGGGCUUAGAGUUGGAUGCAAUGUUUUAAAAUAAAGGGAUAAUUGAAAAGGUUUUUUGCUUUUAAUGGAUCCAACUUUGUUUUAGGAGUCACCGUUGUCGUUUCAGUUUUUAUUCCACUGCCUCCUCAUGAUUAUGUUGUCUAUGCUCCUGUGGCUGGACCAAGAACGUCAUUGUUGGUGGAAAAGAGGUUAGGCCAGGAGGUAUAUCCGGAGUUUUCUGAGGUUCUUCAGGUGAAAUGCAGCAUUCAGCGUGAUAAAGGUUAGAUCGCAUCCCAUCGCGACAGCUUCGAGGGCUCGGACUAUUUUUGGAAAUCAUAUGAAUAUGGUGCACGCUGGUUGGUUUCGAGUCAUUUAAGUGUGCUCGCAGGAUAAAUACUCCUCCACUGUGGGUUGGUUUGCUCCAUCUAUCUGUAUCCGUGGGGGUUUUUGUGCGUUC
This is a long non-coding RNA of Gasterosteus aculeatus aculeatus (three-spined stickleback), 481 nucleotides long. The record is from Ensembl. NCBI's taxonomy places the organism in Eukaryota, Metazoa, Chordata, Actinopteri, Perciformes, Gasterosteidae.